UACGCAUGUAUAUACUGAUCAUAUGCGUUGCGUAUACAAAAUUUGGGCCAUAUCCUUAUUAUUGUCCGGGUCCAGCCCAAAAGGGACUGACCUGGCCCAAAAUCUUUUCCUUUACAAUCAACAAAAAAACGACCCCUUCAUUUGGUUUUCAAAAAAAAAAAAAAAAACCAACGGGCAAAACCCUACCACUAGGCACAAACGUGCACCUCCAGCUAGUUGUCAGCGGUAGCAUGUCCUUUUCUUUUCAAAAAUUGCAAUGGAUUGUAGCUGGCUUGUCUUGUAAGUUUUGGGGAUUUUGAAUUUCAAUUUUAAAUUGGCAUGUUUCAUUCAGGUUCUAUAAAUAGAAACCCCUUGCUCUUCAUUUUGAAAAAAAAAAAAAAAGAGGAACAGAAAAGUCCUAAGGCCGAAUUUCUGGUCUUUGCAUCUCAAAGGGGUUUUUUUUACACCUCUUAAGGGCAAGAACACUCAGAAACCCGGCUAAGCCGUUGAGUUUCGAGGACGUUCUCGCUCGAAUAUAAUUUUUUGGAAGUGGUUUCCGUUCGUCGGAAAUCGAUUCGGGUGAAAGGUAUUUCAUCGUCAACCCCCAUCGCUGCUCGAUAAAAAGGUUACGAAGAAGAGCAGGUUCGUGAUACGCAUACGUAGUAGGAGAACUUGAUGCUUUCUAGACUUAUUGGUGAGCCCACGCCCUUGUUCGUGGGACACCUCAUCUAUUUAGUUUUAUUGUUUAAGUUUUCGAGCCGUGUUCCGAUGUACGAGACUCUGUAUAUGUUCUUAGAAGCUCCAUAGUUAGACGUUGUGCUAUGGGUAGAUUGUUGAACUCUCGUAUGACUUGUUGGUGCGUUUGCCAUGGUUAAGACAUUUUAUUUCUAUUA
Long non-coding RNA from Lycium barbarum (goji berry), 872 nucleotides. RefSeq lists it as uncharacterized. Lineage: Eukaryota; Viridiplantae; Streptophyta; Magnoliopsida; Solanales; Solanaceae. The transcript is spliced from 2 exons. The record is from RefSeq and is a predicted model, not a curated record.